AUUGAACGCUGGCGGCAUGCCUUACACAUGCAAGUCGAACGGCAGCACGGGAGCUUGCUCCUGGUGGCGAGUGGCGAACGGGUGAGUAAUACAUCGGAACGUACCCUGAAGUGGGGGAUAACGUAGCGAAAGUUACGCUAAUACCGCAUAUUCUGUGAGCAGGAAAGAGGGGGAUCGCAAGACCUCUUGCUUUAGGAGCGGCCGAUGUCGGAUUAGCUAGUUGGUGAGGUAAAGGCUCACCAAGGCGACGAUCCGUAGCGGGUCUGAGAGGAUGAUCCGCCACACUGGGACUGAGACACGGCCCAGACUCCUACGGGAGGCAGCAGUGGGGAAUUUUGGACAAUGGGCGCAAGCCUGAUCCAGCCAUGCCGCGUGAGUGAAGAAGGCCUU
This 390-nucleotide ribosomal RNA is filed under the name uncultured bacterium. RNAcentral describes it as "bacterial SSU rRNA". It matches the Rfam family "Bacterial small subunit ribosomal RNA", at positions 30 to 418 of the family's 1533-position model. The record is from RNAcentral.